Molecule: long non-coding RNA, 449 nt
Organism: Salmo salar (Atlantic salmon)
Lineage: Eukaryota; Metazoa; Chordata; Actinopteri; Salmoniformes; Salmonidae
Source: RefSeq, a predicted model, not a curated record
UGCUCAAGAUCACGUCAACAGAUUUUUCACCUAGUCGGCUCGUGUAUUAGAACCAGCGACUUUUCAGUUACAGGCCCAACGCUCUUAACUGCUGGGAUACCUGCCCCCCAAGCAUCUCAAUCCAAUAGACACAGUCCAUGGUCCGGGUGUUGAUUCCACAGCUCAUCGAGAGCCCAACAUCUGAGACAGACACAACUUACAUCUUCAUUACUGAAACAGUUCCCUUGCCUCAAGGAUUCAGAGGACAGGUCGGAACCAACAUGGCUGAAUACCUCUGGCGGAUGGCAAGGAGACCCGACCCAUCUGGAGGUGCAAUUGUAAAGGGACCUCGGACUGGUGUUAAAGUAUACACCGGACAGACGGCGAUGAAAAUGAGUUGUUCGGUUGUGUUCAUUUUGUAAUGAUAUCUCCUCCCAUUCCCCCCCAGUUAAUAAAUACAUGUUAUUUUA